RNAcentral lists this long non-coding RNA (1174 nucleotides) under Nicotiana benthamiana. RNAcentral's name for it is "long non-coding RNA (NBEN_LNC028146)". The record is from RNAcentral. Lineage: Eukaryota; Viridiplantae; Streptophyta; Magnoliopsida; Solanales; Solanaceae.
GAGGCUCCUGCAUUCUUCCAUCACAACCUGAUUGGGAUGACUUUCAACGACAUUACCUUCCACAGUUUGCCAUAUUACGGCAUCACUCGAGUCAGUUUCGAUUAUUACCUUUUUUGCUAGAAUCGACUUGCCGUGUAUAGCCCAAAACCUGGUGUAAGACUUGUCGCUCUCAAGCUAAGUCGUCCGCAAAAUUCUCCUAUCCGCUUUCCUUUAUAGGGCGACUCAAGGGGAGGCUAGCAAAGUCUUUGCUUUAGACCCCCAAAUUUUGAAGCCCCAAAAAUAUUUUUACUUGUGGAUAUUAAUCUUAUUUUCGCUUAGAUAAUAGUGAACUUUAUAAUAAAAGAUACAAAAUGCUUAUCAACCCUAAAAUUUCACCAUCUCCUCCUUUCUUCCUCCUCCUUUUGCCUAUCCUAACCAAAUCCCUUUAAUCCCUUCCAAACUCCACGAAUAAACAAAAAAUCUAAAACUCUAGCUUACUUUAUUUUGUAAAUUCGUCGAAUUUUAGACUUCUCCUUCAUAAAAUAAUUACAUAGACGUGUAGAGCUCCACACGAUCUAUCACUUUAUGUUGGUCUUGACCCCAUAAAGCCUCACCACUAGUGGCAGCCACCCCCACUGCCGUGACGCGGCCGCCGGCGAACCUUCAUGCCGUUAAUCACCAACAAAUGCAUCAAUCUCUGUUUCUUUUCUAUUAUCGAUUUAAAGGCGCUCGUUUCCUUCUAGCACAAUGCCAAACUUGUUUGUUUUGGCGCCUGCUAAGAGGAAACGUAUGCUUCAACGUCGAGCAGCCACCAUUCGUCGCCCCCGGGAUUCGUCUCGUUGCUCGAUUGGCAUUGAAUCCCUCUGUAUGGAAAAACAUCAAUUUCUUUUUCUUAUUUUUAUCUUUUCUGAUUUUUUGCUUUAUUUUAGUAUUAGUUCUAAGGUUUAAUUUCCAUUAAUAUUUCUGUUAUUUAUUUGCAAUGAUUAUUAAUUUUUAAUUAAAUUUUACUUUAUAAAUGUGAAUUUCAGUUCUUCGGCCUAGCCGGUCGAGUAGUUCGUUAUUGCGUGUAGUUUUGAUUUUUUAUUCUUCGACCUAGCCGAUUGAUUAUUUUGUGUGAAUUUGAUCAAGCUUGAACAUUCAGUUCUUCAACCUAGCCGGUCGACCUUUUUUUUUUAAUUGUUUGUCCAUUAGUUCU